UCGGUUAUUAGUCGCAUACACAUGACAUACCCUGGCCCGUAAACAUACAUAAGUCCAAUCUUCGAGGAGAGGGUUCCCAAUAUCUAUGUUACCCUAGGAGUAAUCGUCAAUGGUUAACGACAUUCUCAUAAAAGUGAUCUAAUUUGUUUAUCCUUUGUGGGAUUUUCCUCCUAAAACCUUCACCAUAAAUAGCUUCUCCCUUGGCUUUCUUCAUCAGAAUUUCAUAAGCUAUCGAAGUGUCCACAGUGUUUUAUUGAAAUUUGUGAUUAAUUAUUAAAUCGUGAAAAUGCGUGCAUUGAAAAUUAUGUUGAAAGUAUGCCACCGUGAAAAAUUGAAAUAUAUUUCGAUUCCAGCUAAAGCAUCUUUGUCGAAACUCUUAAGAAAAAUUCGAAGGAAAUUCAAAGUGAGUAACAAAUACAACUUGGAUCUACGCACUGACUAUGGAGCAACAUUUACGGAGGAGUUUUACCGAGAGUUUGUUGAUACGUUCCCGGCAAGUAACCGUAUCUUACACCUCGAAGCGAAUGUCCCAAAGGAAGUUAAAUCAAAUCCCAUUCAACAUAUUGAAAAUCCGCGGAAAAGGAAGCGGGAGGACGACGUAACCUCUAAUACUGAGAGUGAAUAUACCCCGCCUCGUUUCACGGAAGCAGAUAUAGCGAAACGCACAAAAGAUAUGUGGGCAGCUCCCCUGAUGAGGCAAAAUUGUUUUAUAGGUAAAAUGCCAGAGGGUAAAUGCAGUUAUUCCAAGAGAUUUACAACUUACAGAAGUUCACGGAUUUUCAGUGUUAAAAAUCACCCAGCGGCAUCAAAAGCUUUUCAUUGAUAAAUAUGCAAGGUAAAACUAUCCAUACAAACAAAUAACAGGUGGCAAAUAAAUACAUGCAUCUACCAUAUAUUAAAACGGCUAACUUUGAGGAUCCAGGUCAACUUAAUCCUAGGUGCGUUUUUGGCAGUCAAAUCAAGAUCAUAAUCA
This 973-nucleotide unclassified non-coding RNA is filed under the name Hermetia illucens (black soldier fly). RNAcentral's name for it is "uncharacterized LOC119653706, transcript variant X1". The record is from RNAcentral. Lineage: Eukaryota; Metazoa; Arthropoda; Insecta; Diptera; Stratiomyidae.